CAGUAGCCGCGGGAAUACAGAGGGUGCAAGCGUUAAUCGGAAUUACUGGGCGUAAAGCGCGCGUAGGUGGUUUGUUAAGUUGGAUGUGAAAUCCCCGGGCUCAACCUGGGAACUGCAUCCAAAACUGGCAAGCUAGAGUAGGGCAGAGGGUGGUGGAAUUUCCUGUGUAGCGGUGAAAUGCGUAGAUAUAGGAAGGAACACCAGUGGCGAAGGCGACCACCUGGGCUCAUACUGACACUGAGGUGCGAAAGCGUGGGGAGCAAACAGGAUUAGAUACCCGUGUAGUCCCUGUCUCUUAUAC
This 301-nucleotide ribosomal RNA is filed under the name uncultured bacterium. Its description in RNAcentral is "partial 16S ribosomal RNA". It matches the Rfam family "Bacterial small subunit ribosomal RNA", at positions 509 to 807 of the family's 1533-position model. The record is from RNAcentral.